CCGUGCUAGACGGGGAGUUAGCGGUGCCCUGUAGCCCGAGAUCCGCUUCAGCGGGGUCGAAUCCCCUUCGAAGGGCUGUGGCUGAGCUGGCCGUGUCUAAUUCCGGCGCCGGUUGGACACCACGCAACAGACGACUACGAACCCCGUCAGGUCCGGAAGGAAGCAGCGGUAAGUAUCAUCGGCUGUGUCGCGGUCAAAUCUAGCCUGGUUGCCCGAAGGUGCGCGGUCAGUAUUGGCCGGUUCGACGGAGGGUGCACGG
This 259-nucleotide signal recognition particle RNA is filed under the name Syntrophobacter sp. SbD1. Its description in RNAcentral is "Bacteria_large_SRP". It matches the Rfam family "Bacterial large signal recognition particle RNA". Rfam says of the family: The signal recognition particle (SRP) is a universally conserved ribonucleoprotein involved in the co-translational targeting of proteins to membranes. Archaeal SRP consists of a 7S RNA and homologues of the eukaryotic SRP19 and SRP54 proteins. In most bacteria, the SRP consists of a 4.5S RNA and the Ffh protein (a homologue of the eukaryotic SRP54 protein). The record is from RNAcentral. Lineage: Bacteria; Pseudomonadati; Thermodesulfobacteriota; Syntrophobacteria; Syntrophobacterales; Syntrophobacteraceae.